UCCUGGUGGCAAACAAUGUCUCUAAAGCCCGACGCACACGUGAGUUAUUUUACUCAAGUAAAAUGACGCAUGAGUCAAAUUACUCAACGAAAAUCCGCCGCACACGUGAGUAAAAUGAUGCAUGCGUCAAAUUCUUCAACGAAAAUCCGCCGCACACGUGAGUGAAAUGACUCAUGCCUCAUAUUAUUUGAGUAAAAUAACUCACGUGUGCGCCGGGCUUAAUCCUACCGAAGGUGAGAAGUGUAAUUGUUAAUUGUUACAAUGGGUUGUUUUCCCAUGUUCGUCACUAGGGGCGAAAGUUUCCAACCUCUAGGUAAAACCUUCAUUCAUUCGUUGAUAAAUAACGCAAUUUAUCUCAGUAGUGAUGACUUGGCAGGCUAAUGUAGAAUCUGAGUAACUUUGUAAAUACACGCGUGUGAUAGACGGUACCAAAUCCUUCAUCGAACACGGAAAACAUUGUAAACUGUGUUAAGAGAGAUCAAACGGUGUCCAUUCAAACUAGUGUCCAUGCAGAGCGGUGUUCGUACAGGUCAGAAUAUGCAACAAUCUUCUCACAUCCACAGAAUCUCACAGUUAUAUUGUAUAUAGCGUUCCUAUUUAGCCUUUAUAUAUAUAUAUAUAUAAUGCGUUUUAACUAGAGGAGAUCUGUCAUAACCACCAAUAAGUUUUACAUGGUUAGUGUUGUUGAAUAGGACGCACAGAUGUGUGCCGCCCAUGUUUCGUGAUACUGUACCGUACACAGUGUUUAGAAAUGUAUGUGAUUAUACCUAUCACACUAGUUGUGAUGGCAAUGAGGCAGGCGGCAGCAGAGGCUACGUAACGCGAGGUCGGCCUUCUAGCUGUGAAAGUGUAAUACUCUAUAAUCACUCUGUAAAUAUUUUUCCCGUUUUGAUACGGCAGGGUUUUAUAAUUCAUCUAAUUUUUUAGCAUAAUCUUUUAACGAUUAUACGCGCGUUGUGGCAAUUUACACAUGAUGUUCGUUACACAUGAUGACAAUGAGCAAGAGCUCGUUGUUGGUAUUCGAAUGGCAAAAUGUUAAUAGAAGAAGUUUUGGCAGCAAUCGGCGUUAAGAAAACUAUAAAUAUAGGCGGAGUGGGAGAAAGUUAUCAGAAUCUCAUUUUUGCAACACACGGGAUUCUUGGACCAUGAUGGCUGAGAUUUAUCCUAACGAAUUGUGAAUGCUUAUAUCGAAAGAAAUAUAACGUAAGAAUUUUGUUAUGAAAUUAAAAAAAUAUCGAUGUUCUUCUAUUUGUUUCGGCGAUCGGUAUCAAACACGCUUCAUUCCGAGCCGGUGACGUCAUUUGCGUUUCAUGCCAAGAACACCGAUCGGCUCCCGUGUCUGGGUUCGAUUUGCCGGUAGAUUAUCCGUGAGGUAAUUCGCAAUGAAACCUGUAUGUGUACGGUUCACAUUCGCCGAGUUUUCUAUAUUCGUAGACGUAAGUACAAAACUGCGUGCAAAGAAACUAUAUUGCGAUUGUAAAA
Long non-coding RNA from Priapulus caudatus, 1482 nucleotides. RefSeq lists it as uncharacterized. Lineage: Eukaryota; Metazoa; Priapulida; Priapulimorpha; Priapulimorphida; Priapulidae. The transcript is spliced from 2 exons. The record is from RefSeq and is a predicted model, not a curated record.